AUUGAACGCUGGCGGCGUGCCUAACACAUGCAAGUCGAGCGGUAACAGGUGUAGCAAUACAUGCUGACGAGCGGCGAACGGGUGAGUAAUGCUUCGGAAUCUACCCAAUGGUGGGGAAUAACCAGCCGAAAGGUUGGCUAAUACCGCAUACGUCCCACGGGAGAAAGCAGGGGAUCGCAAGACCUUGCGCCAAUGGAUGAGCCGAAGUCGGAUUGGCUAGUGGUAGGGUAACGGCCUACCAAGGCGACGAUCCGUAGCUGGUCUGAGAGGACGACCAGCCACACUGGGACUGAGACACGGCCCAGACUCCUACGGGAGGCAGCAGUGGGGAAUAUUGGACAAUGGGGGAAACCCUGAUCCAGCGACGCCGCGUGUGUGAAGAAGGCCUGCGGGUGUAAAG
RNAcentral lists this ribosomal RNA (400 nucleotides) under uncultured bacterium. RNAcentral describes it as "bacterial SSU rRNA". It matches the Rfam family "Bacterial small subunit ribosomal RNA", at positions 29 to 430 of the family's 1533-position model. The record is from RNAcentral.